RNAcentral lists this ribosomal RNA (2902 nucleotides) under Escherichia coli O104:H4 str. 11-02033-1. Its description in RNAcentral is "bacterial LSU rRNA". It matches the Rfam family "Bacterial large subunit ribosomal RNA". The record is from RNAcentral. Lineage: Bacteria; Pseudomonadati; Pseudomonadota; Gammaproteobacteria; Enterobacterales; Enterobacteriaceae. RNAcentral also lists the same sequence under 2 other names.
UUAAGCGACUAAGCGUACACGGUGGAUGCCCUGGCAGUCAGAGGCGAUGAAGGACGUGCUAAUCUGCGAUAAGCGUCGGUAAGGUGAUAUGAACCGUUAUAACCGGCGAUUUCCGAAUGGGGAAACCCAGUGUGAUUCGUCACACUAUCAUUAACUGAAUCCAUAGGUUAAUGAGGCGAACCGGGGGAACUGAAACAUCUAAGUACCCCGAGGAAAAGAAAUCAACCGAGAUUCCCCCAGUAGCGGCGAGCGAACGGGGAGCAGCCCAGAGCCUGAAUCAGUAUGUGUGUUAGUGGAAGCGUCUGGAAAGGCGCGCGAUACAGGGUGACAGCCCCGUACACAAAAAUGCACAUGCUGUGAGCUCGAUGAGUAGGGCGGGACACGUGGUAUCCUGUCUGAAUAUGGGGGGACCAUCCUCCAAGGCUAAAUACUCCUGACUGACCGAUAGUGAACCAGUACCGUGAGGGAAAGGCGAAAAGAACCCCGGCGAGGGGAGUGAAAAAGAACCUGAAACCGUGUACGUACAAGCAGUGGGAGCACGCUUAGGCGUGUGACUGCGUACCUUUUGUAUAAUGGGUCAGCGACUUAUAUUCUGUAGCAAGGUUAACCGAAUAGGGGAGCCGAAGGGAAACCGAGUCUUAACUGGGCGUUAAGUUGCAGGGUAUAGACCCGAAACCCGGUGAUCUAGCCAUGGGCAGGUUGAAGGUUGGGUAACACUAACUGGAGGACCGAACCGACUAAUGUUGAAAAAUUAGCGGAUGACUUGUGGCUGGGGGUGAAAGGCCAAUCAAACCGGGAGAUAGCUGGUUCUCCCCGAAAGCUAUUUAGGUAGCGCCUCGUGAAUUCAUCUCCGGGGGUAGAGCACUGUUUCGGCAAGGGGGUCAUCCCGACUUACCAACCCGAUGCAAACUGCGAAUACCGGAGAAUGUUAUCACGGGAGACACACGGCGGGUGCUAACGUCCGUCGUGAAGAGGGAAACAACCCAGACCGCCAGCUAAGGUCCCAAAGUCAUGGUUAAGUGGGAAACGAUGUGGGAAGGCCCAGACAGCCAGGAUGUUGGCUUAGAAGCAGCCAUCAUUUAAAGAAAGCGUAAUAGCUCACUGGUCGAGUCGGCCUGCGCGGAAGAUGUAACGGGGCUAAACCAUGCACCGAAGCUGCGGCAGCGACGCUGAUGCGUUGUUGGGUAGGGGAGCGUUCUGUAAGCCUGUGAAGGUGUGCUGUGAGGCAUGCUGGAGGUAUCAGAAGUGCGAAUGCUGACAUAAGUAACGAUAAAGCGGGUGAAAAGCCCGCUCGCCGGAAGACCAAGGGUUCCUGUCCAACGUUAAUCGGGGCAGGGUGAGUCGACCCCUAAGGCGAGGCCGAAAGGCGUAGUCGAUGGGAAACAGGUUAAUAUUCCUGUACUUGGUGUUACUGCGAAGGGGGGACGGAGAAGGCUAUGUUGGCCGGGCGACGGUUGUCCCGGUUUAAGCGUGUAGGCUGGUUUUCCAGGCAAAUCCGGAAAAUCAAGGCUGAGGCGUGAUGACGAGGCACUACGGUGCUGAAGCAACAAAUGCCCUGCUUCCAGGAAAAGCCUCUAAGCAUCAGGUAACAUCAAAUCGUACCCCAAACCGACACAGGUGGUCAGGUAGAGAAUACCAAGGCGCUUGAGAGAACUCGGGUGAAGGAACUAGGCAAAAUGGUGCCGUAACUUCGGGAGAAGGCACGCUGAUAUGUAGGUGAAGCGACUUGCUCGUGGAGCUGAAAUCAGUCGAAGAUACCAGCUGGCUGCAACUGUUUAUUAAAAACACAGCACUGUGCAAACACGAAAGUGGACGUAUACGGUGUGACGCCUGCCCGGUGCCGGAAGGUUAAUUGAUGGGGUCAGCGCAAGCGAAGCUCUUGAUCGAAGCCCCGGUAAACGGCGGCCGUAACUAUAACGGUCCUAAGGUAGCGAAAUUCCUUGUCGGGUAAGUUCCGACCUGCACGAAUGGCGUAAUGAUGGCCAGGCUGUCUCCACCCGAGACUCAGUGAAAUUGAACUCGCUGUGAAGAUGCAGUGUACCCGCGGCAAGACGGAAAGACCCCGUGAACCUUUACUAUAGCUUGACACUGAACAUUGAGCCUUGAUGUGUAGGAUAGGUGGGAGGCUUUGAAGUGUGGACGCCAGUCUGCAUGGAGCCGACCUUGAAAUACCACCCUUUAAUGUUUGAUGUUCUAACGUUGACCCGUGAUCCGGGUUGCGGACAGUGUCUGGUGGGUAGUUUGACUGGGGCGGUCUCCUCCUAAAGAGUAACGGAGGAGCACGAAGGUUGGCUAAUCCUGGUCGGACAUCAGGAGGUUAGUGCAAUGGCAUAAGCCAGCUUGACUGCGAGCGUGACGGCGCGAGCAGGUGCGAAAGCAGGUCAUAGUGAUCCGGUGGUUCUGAAUGGAAGGGCCAUCGCUCAACGGAUAAAAGGUACUCCGGGGAUAACAGGCUGAUACCGCCCAAGAGUUCAUAUCGACGGCGGUGUUUGGCACCUCGAUGUCGGCUCAUCACAUCCUGGGGCUGAAGUAGGUCCCAAGGGUAUGGCUGUUCGCCAUUUAAAGUGGUACGCGAGCUGGGUUUAGAACGUCGUGAGACAGUUCGGUCCCUAUCUGCCGUGGGCGCUGGAGAACUGAGGGGGGCUGCUCCUAGUACGAGAGGACCGGAGUGGACGCAUCACUGGUGUUCGGGUUGUCAUGCCAAUGGCACUGCCCGGUAGCUAAAUGCGGAAGAGAUAAGUGCUGAAAGCAUCUAAGCACGAAACUUGCCCCGAGAUGAGUUCUCCCUGACUCCUUGAGAGUCCUGAAGGAACGUUGAAGACGACGACGUUGAUAGGCCGGGUGUGUAAGCGCAGCGAUGCGUUGAGCUAACCGGUACUAAUGAACCGUGAGGCUUAACCUU